UGCCAGCCGCCGCGGUAAUACGGAGGGUGCAAGCGUUGUACGGAUUGACUGGGCGUAAAGUGCACGCAGGCGGGUUUUUAAGUUGGAUGUGAAAUCCCCGGGCUCAACCUGGGAACUGCAUCCAAAACUGGAAAUCUUGAAUGUUUGAGAGGUUGGUGGAAUUUGUGGUGUAGGAGUGAAAUCCGUAGAUAUCACAAGGAAUACCGGCGGCGAAGGCGGCCGACUGGCAAAACAUUGACGCUCAUGUGCGAAAGCGUGGGGAGCAAACAGGAUUAGAUA
RNAcentral lists this ribosomal RNA (279 nucleotides) under uncultured bacterium. RNAcentral's name for it is "partial 16S ribosomal RNA". It matches the Rfam family "Bacterial small subunit ribosomal RNA", at positions 506 to 784 of the family's 1533-position model. The record is from RNAcentral.